AGAGUUUGAUCCUGGCUCAGAUUGAACGCUGGCGGCAGGCCUAACACAUGCAAGUCGAGCGGUAGCACAGAGAGCUUGCUCUCGGGUGACGAGCGGCGGACGGGUGAGUAAUGUCUGGGAAACUGCCUGAUGGAGGGGGAUAACUACUGGAAACGGUAGCUAAUACCGCAUAACGUCGCAAGACCAAAGUGGGGGACCUUCGGGCCUCAUGCCAUCAGAUGUGCCCAGAUGGGAUUAGCUAGUAGGUGGGGUAACGGCUCACCUAGGCGACGAUCCCUAGCUGGUCUGAGAGGAUGACCAGCCACACUGGAACUGAGACACGGUCCAGACUCCUACGGGAGGCAGCAGUGGGGAAUAUUGCACAAUGGGCGCAAGCCUGAUGCAGCCAUGCCGCGUGUGUGAAGAAGGCCUUCGGGUUGUAAAGCACUUUCAGCGGGGAGGAAGGCGGUGAGGUUAAUAACCUCACCGAUUGACGUUACCCGCAGAAGAAGCACCGGCUAACUCCGUGCCAGCAGCCGCGGUAAUACGGAGGGUGCAAGCGUUAAUCGGAAUUACUGGGCGUAAAGCGCACGCAGGCGGUCUGUCAAGUCGGAUGUGAAAUCCCCGGGCUCAACCUGGGAACUGCAUUCGAAACUGGCAGGCUAGAGUCUUGUAGAGGGGGGUAGAAUUCCAGGUGUAGCGGUGAAAUGCGUAGAGAUCUGGAGGAAUACCGGUGGCGAAGGCGGCCCCCUGGACAAAGACUGACGCUCAGGUGCGAAAGCGUGGGGAGCAAACAGGAUUAGAUACCCUGGUAGUCCACGCUGUAAACGAUGUCGAUUUGGAGGUUGUGCCCUUGAGGCGUGGCUUCCGGAGCUAACGCGUUAAAUCGACCGCCUGGGGAGUACGGCCGCAAGGUUAAAACUCAAAUGAAUUGACGGGGGCCCGCACAAGCGGUGGAGCAUGUGGUUUAAUUCGAUGCAACGCGAAGAACCUUACCUGGUCUUGACAUCCACAGAACUUAGCAGAGAUGCUUUGGUGCCUUCGGGAACUGUGAGACAGGUGCUGCAUGGCUGUCGUCAGCUCGUGUUGUGAAAUGUUGGGUUAAGUCCCGCAACGAGCGCAACCCUUAUCCUUUGUUGCCAGCGGUUAGGCCGGGAACUCAAAGGAGACUGCCAGUGAUAAACUGGAGGAAGGUGGGGAUGACGUCAAGUCAUCAUGGCCCUUACGACCAGGGCUACACACGUGCUACAAUGGCAUAUACAAAGAGAAGCGACCUCGCGAGAGCAAGCGGACCUCAUAAAGUAUGUCGUAGUCCGGAUUGGAGUCUGCAACUCGACUCCAUGAAGUCGGAAUCGCUAGUAAUCGUAGAUCAGAAUGCUACGGUGAAUACGUUCCCGGGCCUUGUACACACCGCCCGUCACACCAUGGGAGUGGGUUGCA
RNAcentral lists this ribosomal RNA (1419 nucleotides) under uncultured bacterium. RNAcentral's name for it is "16S ribosomal RNA". It matches the Rfam family "Bacterial small subunit ribosomal RNA". The record is from RNAcentral.